Molecule: transfer RNA, 82 nt
Filed under: Blyttiomyces helicus
Lineage: Eukaryota; Fungi; Chytridiomycota; Chytridiomycetes
Rfam family: tRNA
About the family: Transfer RNA (tRNA) molecules are approximately 80 nucleotides in length. Their secondary structure includes four short double-helical elements and three loops (D, anti-codon, and T loops).
Source: Rfam by way of RNAcentral
UCCGCAUUAGUCCAGUGGUUAGGAUACCUCGCUCUCAUUGCAGAGAUCCGAGGUGGCCGGGGUUCGAUUCCCCGAUGCGGAA